Molecule: ribosomal RNA, 354 nt
Filed under: Triticum aestivum (bread wheat)
Lineage: Eukaryota; Viridiplantae; Streptophyta; Magnoliopsida; Poales; Poaceae
Description: partial small subunit ribosomal RNA
Source: RNAcentral
AUGUUCGUGGAUUCUAAAACAAUGUUCACAAAUUCCAAAAAUGUUAUCGUGUUCGAAAAAUGUUUUCAUAAUUCCAAAAAUAUUAUCGUGUUCGAAAAAUGUUUUCAUAUUGAAGACAAGUAUGAAUUCCAAAAAUGUUCACGAAUUCAAAAAAUGUUCAUGAUGAAUUCAAAAAUGUUCACAGAUUCUAAAAACUCCUCACAAAUUCCAAAAUCGCUCACGUAUUCGAAAAAUGUUCACAUAUUCAAAAAUGAUUCAACCAUUGGAAAAGGUUCAAAAUUUUCGAAAAAUAUUCACAAAUUUGGAAAAUAUUCGGUAAUUCAAUAUUUUAGCAAAUUCAAAAAUGUGAAUUGA